AGUGAGAGACCUUAGCUUCCCUAUCUCUUUUGGGAUAGAGCCUACGAGUAAAUUUUGAUAGAGAUAGAGAAUGGUUAGGUUGCCCAAGCUCCCUAUGGUAGAGGGUAUUGAUCCCGUGAGAUUGUUGGCAUACAAAUCCAAUUCCUCAAGAGAGCUGAGCAUUCCAAUUUCUUGCGGAAUGGAACCACUUAGUUGGUUCGAAAACAUGUAGCAGAUUCUAAGGUUUGUGAGCAACCCUAUCUCGCGGGGAAUGGUCCCAGUGAGGUGAUUUUCCGACAAGUCAAGUUCAGUGAGAGACCUUAGCUUCCCUAUCUCGCGGGGAAUGGUCCCAGUGAGGUGAUUUUCCGACAAUUCAAGUCCAGUGAGAGACCUCAGCUUCCCUAUCUCUUUCGGGAUAGAGCCUACGAGUAAAUUUUGAUCGAGAUAGAGAAUGGUUAGGUUGCCCAAGCUCCCUAUGGUAGAGGGUAUUGAUCCCGCGAGAUUGUUGGCAGACAAAGUCAAAUCCUCAAGAGAGCUGAGCAUUCCAAUUUCUUGGGGAAUGGAACCACUGAGUUGGUUCGAAAACAUGUGGCAGAUUCUAAGGUUUGUGAGCAACCCUAUCUCACGGGGAAUGGUCCCAGUGAGGUGAUUUUCUGACAAUUCAAGUUCAGUGAGAGACCUUAGCUUCCCUAUCUCUUUUGGGAUAGAGCCUACGAGUAAAUUUUGACCGAGAGAGAGACUGGUUAGGUUGCCUAAGCUCCCUAUGGUAGACGGUAUUGAUCCCGUGAGAUUGUUGGUUGACAAAUCCAAUUCCACAAGAGAGCUGAGCAUUCCAAUUUCUUGCGGAAUGGAACCACUGAGUUGGUUCGAAAACAUGUUGCAGCCUCUAAGGUUUGUGAGCAACCCUAUCUCGCGGGGAAUGGUCCCAGUGAGGUGAUUUAUCGACAAGGCAAGUCCAAUGAGAGACCUUAGCUUCCCUAUCUCUUUUGGGAUAGAGCCUACGAGUAAAUUUUGAUAGAGAUAGAGAAUGGUUAGGUUGCCCAAGCUCCCUAUGGUAGACGGUAUUGAUCCCGUGAGAUUGUUGGCAUACAAAGCCAAUUCCUCAAGAGAGCUGAGCAUUCCAAUUUCUCGC
RNAcentral lists this long non-coding RNA (1111 nucleotides) under Panax ginseng (ginseng). RNAcentral's name for it is "long non-coding RNA (PGIN_LNC008570)". Lineage: Eukaryota; Viridiplantae; Streptophyta; Magnoliopsida; Apiales; Araliaceae. The record is from RNAcentral.